This 460-nucleotide ribosomal RNA is filed under the name uncultured bacterium. RNAcentral's name for it is "partial 16S ribosomal RNA". It matches the Rfam family "Bacterial small subunit ribosomal RNA", at positions 338 to 795 of the family's 1533-position model. The record is from RNAcentral.
CCUACGGGAGGCAGCAGUGAGGAAUAUUGGUCAAUGGGCGCUAGCCUGAACCAGCCAAGUAGCGUGAAGGAUGACUGCCCUAUGGGUUGUAAACUUCUUUUAUAUGGGAAUAAAGUGCAGUAUGUAUACUGCUUUGCAUGUACCUUAUGAAUAAGGAUCGGCUAACUCCGUGCCAGCAGCCGCGGUAAUACGGAGGAUCCGAGCGUUAUCCGGAUUUAUUGGGUUUAAAGGGAGCGGAGGCGGGUUGUUAAGUCAGUUGUGAAAGUUUGCGGCUCAACCGUAAAAUUGCAGUUGAUACUGGCAUCCUUGAGUACAGUAGAGGUAGGCGGAAUUCGUGGUGGAGCGGUGAAAUGCUUAGAUAGCACGAAGAACUCCGAUUGCGAAGGCAGCCUGCUGGACUGUAACUGACGCUGAUGCUCGAAAGUGUGGGUAGCAAACAGGAUUAGAUACCCGUGUAGUC